Molecule: unclassified non-coding RNA, 250 nt
Filed under: Hevea brasiliensis (rubber tree)
Lineage: Eukaryota; Viridiplantae; Streptophyta; Magnoliopsida; Malpighiales; Euphorbiaceae
Source: RNAcentral
AUUUGCUGCAGAUCUUUUUUAAGAGGCUGCCAGCACAAGGGCAUAGCUUCUUGGAUGAAGUUCCAAAUGAGAAGCUUUCAAGAAUUCAUAGUUUUCUCCGAGAAGGCAUUGGCCGCUGGAUUCUGCGGAUUCAAAAGAAACCAUAUUCUGCCCAAAUUGACGAAAACGAGUUAGCCAUUCUGUGGGGAAUCGUAGCCUGUUACCCUAUAGCAGGUGGUUCAGCGAAUGAGUCAUUGCUAAUGGACUUGGU